This 21-nucleotide small nuclear RNA is filed under the name Arabidopsis thaliana (thale cress). Its description in RNAcentral is "snRNA_06157". Lineage: Eukaryota; Viridiplantae; Streptophyta; Magnoliopsida; Brassicales; Brassicaceae. The record is from RNAcentral.
CUGAGAUUCAGCCCUUUGUCG